RNAcentral lists this ribosomal RNA (117 nucleotides) under Periophthalmus magnuspinnatus. Lineage: Eukaryota; Metazoa; Chordata; Actinopteri; Gobiiformes; Gobiidae. The record is from RNAcentral.
CAUUGUGGUUAAACCUUUUUUUCAACCACAAUCUUGUGCGAUAUCAGAAGCUAAGCAGUGUUGGACCUGGUUAGUACUUCGAUGGGAGACCGCUGGGAAUACCAGGUGCUACAAAAA